This is a long non-coding RNA of Jatropha curcas, 505 nucleotides long. RefSeq lists it as uncharacterized. The record is from RefSeq and is a predicted model, not a curated record. NCBI's taxonomy places the organism in Eukaryota, Viridiplantae, Streptophyta, Magnoliopsida, Malpighiales, Euphorbiaceae.
GUUAGAAUAUAAAAUAAAAUUUUUUAGAGUGGUGAAUAAAUAUUUUGUCUGAUAGAAUUAUUCUUUUUGUGUCGUUCUUGUAAUUUCUUAGAUCGCCCGGGUCCAUUUAGUGUUCCUCCAGGACAGAAUCAAAGCUAGAACCUUGCUCUCCAUCACUGUAUUAGGAAGUUGCCGAUCCAACGGAAGCUCUACAAUCUUCUCCGUAGAGUUAUAAAUGUAAACUUUAUAUUUCUGUUAUUUAAAUUUGGAUGUAGUAAUUAUUCUAUUAUUUGAUUAUUAUUGAACUCCGCAGUUAUAGGAUUGUGUAUUUUAAUUAGGCUUGCCGUAUGCGUUCUUUUGGAAUGACAUGUUAUAUAUUAGACGUAGGCAUUUUAGUAUACCCAUAUUCUGAAUAUGACUUAUCAUGAUUAGGCCCAAAUUAAACUUCAAUUGAGAUAUUUAAAUUUUGGGCCAGAUUGUAUAAUAAUUAUAUUUAAACCCUACUGGUAUGGGCUUACUGUUAUUA